AGCAUGGUGUAGUGGUCUGAGCAUCAGGCUAUGACCCUGGAGACCAGGGUUGAAUUCCCUGUUCAGCCA
Phrynosoma platyrhinos (Desert horned lizard) is the source of this 69-nucleotide non-coding RNA. NCBI's taxonomy places the organism in Eukaryota, Metazoa, Chordata, Lepidosauria, Squamata, Phrynosomatidae. The record is from the annotation of a GenBank genome assembly.